AGCGGCGGACGGGUGAGUAACACGUGGGUAACCUACCUAUAAGACUGGGAUAACUUCGGGAAACCGGAGCUAAUACCGGAUAAUAUUCGAACCGCAUGGUUCGAUAGUGAAAGAUGGUUUUGCUAUCACUUAUAGAUGGACCCGCGCCGUAUUAGCUAGUUGGUAAGGUAACGGCUUACCAAGGCGACGAUACGUAGCCGACCUGAGAGGGUGAUCGGCCACACUGGAACUGAGACACGGUCCAGACUCCUACGGGAGGCAGCAGGC
RNAcentral lists this ribosomal RNA (267 nucleotides) under uncultured Staphylococcus sp. RNAcentral's name for it is "partial 16S ribosomal RNA". It matches the Rfam family "Bacterial small subunit ribosomal RNA", at positions 94 to 354 of the family's 1533-position model. Lineage: Bacteria; Bacillati; Bacillota; Bacilli; Caryophanales; Staphylococcaceae. The record is from RNAcentral.